Molecule: non-coding RNA, 310 nt
Organism: Paramuricea clavata
Lineage: Eukaryota; Metazoa; Cnidaria; Anthozoa; Malacalcyonacea; Plexauridae
Source: the annotation of a GenBank genome assembly
GCAUGGUCGAUUCUCAGUAACCCAUAUUAUAGUGCAGUAUGCGGAACACGUAAUAAAGUGGGUCGGGCUGGUUAACACAGACCGACUUUACAUUUUGUCUUGAUAUUUUUACAGUAGUCUUAGUCAGUGUUGUAACAAGUCGAGUCAUUGACUCGGACUCGAGUCGCUAUUUUCAGCGACUCGAGUCCAAAACGAAAAAUGAUUCGACUCGAGUCAACAGCCCCAAAUGACUCGACUAUGGUAGGCGGAAUGGUGCAAUAUUCAACAACCUUUAUUUAUAUUCAACAAAGUUCAUUUAUAUUCAACAAAC